UGAUGGCUGUAGCUAUAAUGUUAACAAGCUAACGUCAGUCAAUUUAUUUAUUGUUGUUCAAGUUAGCAUUUAGCGACUUUUUUCAAGUGUAACGUCAACGUAAUUAAUAAAAGCCUAGUUAGCUAGCAACUACAAAACGAGAAGAUAUUCGCGGUGAAAAGGAACGUUGCCAAGUCGGCUUGGUCGUGAGGCGGAGCGUUGGGUUGUUUUUCCUCCUCCCAUCCUCCUGGAGAGAUUACCAUGAAGAAACAACUGCGUGCUAUGCAGCUCGUCAGUCUUCAUGUUAUAUGGCCCCCACGCAUGGAGAAGACAUUAAUGGUGCUUAGGAUUGCAUCAACACAUUCUUUUUUAUAACGGGUCCCUACUCUAUUCUGUCCUCUGUGAGAGCAGGAGCUGGGAAAUGCUCAUCAGUUCUGAGCACCAAAUCCCUGGAGGAUGAAGCGGCUGCCCUCCGGAGCUCAUCAAUGGAGGGCUGACUGGCCACUUUACACCUCCAUCACUGCCUGCCAGGUCACAUGUCCCCUCCACAGAGGAAUCAACCAACAACACAGACUCAUCUUCCCCAGCCUCCCAAUCUCAGGCUCCACGGCCACUUCCCUCCUGUCUCUGGCUUAAGGAUGUUACUGUACAUAGAGACUCACUGCUCUGACUGGGUCACGCCUACCCUGAUGAAUGACUUGCUAGGGGUUAAAAGGGCACACCAUGGUGGUUGGUGUUUCUUUUGUUUUGUUGCUCAACACAGGACUCAGCUGUGAAAUAGAUUUAUUUGUGUGUGGGGUUCAUCAGCUAAACCCCUGCUGCAAUGAGCAUGAAAUAAAAUAACAAUGUUUAACUAACCUAUCAUACCCACCCCCUUUGUAAUGUCUUUCAACCAGCUGUAGAUACUAAUCGGAUAAGCAAGUGUGCAGAUGUUUCUCCUGCUUGGCUGUUUGGGUGACUGGCUGGCUGGCUGGUUGGCUGGUGGCUUGUGUUCCUGUGUGCCUGUCCUGUCCAGCUGACAACCAGUAUAAUCCCACACUGAGAGUCUCUUCUGUCAUGAAACCAGAAUACAUUUCGUUUGAAAUGUUCCUGAGGGCCAGUGUAAUUAAUGUAGCUAUAGUAUAAGCCCCCAAUGCACAUGGCAGGCCUGACAUUAUCACCAUUGUAGGUUUUCAGUCAAGAGACAAUUUCAUUGCAAAUGUGUUACCCGGGAAGAUGAGAGUUAAUGUUUAAACUUGUGCUGUUUUGCCUCGUCCCCUUGCUUUCUGUAACCCAUUUGACUCUUGCACGCCCUUCAUGGCAGUGGUUGUCAGUGUGAUCUGUUUAUUUGCUUACGGGUGCACUCUGGAAAAAAGCCAACCACUGACAUGGUGGGAGAAGGUGUAUCUUGUUUGGCCAGAUAAAGAAAUAUUUUCCACAGAAUUUGUCACAGAUUAUAUCCUUGAGAUAAGAGUGACCCCUAAGGAUCAAAGUCAGAGAGGAGGAGAGUAGUUUACUAUUAGCUACUCGCUGGUGUUUUUCCUAUGUAUCCUUUAACAGCACUUGAGGCAGAGUAAGGUCUAAUGUCUAAUUAGCAUAACAACUGAGUUUGGGUGGAGUCAUCGCUUAAAGCUUUGAGAUUUUCUGCUGUUUUACUGCUCCUGUAUUUUGAGCAGAGUUUGUUGUCUGCCAUAGCUAUCGAUGUGAUGACCUCAGUCUCUCGGCUGGAAGCUUGUCUGCUUAAUAAUACAUCCGGCAGCUUUUAUGAGGUACACUGAGCAGGAUUUUGUGCUGUGGGAGGCAGGUAAAGUUUUGGUACCAGAUGCAUUUUUCAAAGCCUCCCUUUUUUAAAGAGGAGUGCUCCUCAGAGGCUCCAUCAGUCACCCAGAUUUGGGUUUGGAUCCAUUCUGCUUACGGGGACUCAGUCAGUACAGCUCUCCCUGACUGACUACCACUCCAAACACUCAGGUUCACCCAUCUGUCCCCUUCAGACAAUUUUUUAGAACUCGUUGUGGUUCACUUCCUUGUUUGAACUCCCCCCAAGUCCCCAAACAACUUAGACCCCUCAAAAAGGCCCAGAAGCAAAAUGGAAUUACAACAUAUUGAGAGGUAGGUUCAUUUUGGUGCAACAUGAACAUGAAGCUCCCAGAUGUGCCUAUCAAUAUAUCUACCAACGCCAAGCACUAGGCCCAUGGGAAACCAUUUCCCCCUUACUUCAUCGUCAUAACCGAAGAGAACUGAUGUCCAUGUUAGCGUUACACUUCAAUUGUACAAAAUCUUCUGCCAAGUAUCCUGUAACCUGUUGUUGUUACAUG
Esox lucius (northern pike) is the source of this 2273-nucleotide long non-coding RNA. RefSeq lists it as uncharacterized. The record is from RefSeq and is a predicted model, not a curated record. The transcript has 3 exons. Lineage: Eukaryota; Metazoa; Chordata; Actinopteri; Esociformes; Esocidae.